AGGGUGCAGGGCGGAUGCCUUGGCACUAGGAGCCGAUGAAGGACGUGAUAAGCUGCGAUAAGCUUCGGGGAGUUGCACGUAAACUUUGAUCCGAAGAUUUCCGAAUGAGGAAACUCACUUAGAGUAAUGUCUAAGUAUCGUUAAGUGAAUACAUAGCUUAGCGAGGGGAACCCGGGGAACUGAAACAUCUAAGUACCCGGAGGAAGAGAAAGAAAUUCGAUUCCGUAAGUAGCGGCGAGCGAACGCGGAACAGGCCAAACCAAUGAAGUUUACUUCGUUGGGGUUGCGGACAUACAACAUGGAUGCAAUAUCGUAAAUGAAGAGAGUUGGAAAGCUCCGCCAUAGAAGGUAAUAGCCCUGUAGUUGAAACGAGAAAGCUACUAGUAUGAUCCAGAGUACCACGGGACACGUGAAACCCUGUGGGAAGCAGGAGGGACCAUCCUCCAAGCCUAAAUACUACCUAGUGACCGAUAGCGCAUAGUACCGUGAGGGAAAGGUGAAAAGAACCCCGGGAGGGGAGUGAAAUAGAACCUGAAACCCUGCACUUACAAGCUGUGGGAGCACAUUACUUGUGUGACCGCGUACUUUUUGUAGAACGGGCCAACGAGUUACGUUAAGUAGCAAGGUUAAGCACUUAAGGUGUGGAGCCGUAGCGAAAGCGAGUCUUAAAUGGGCGAUUAAGUUACUUGGCGUAGACCCGAAACCGGGCGACCUAUCCAUGAGCAGGUUGAAGCGAAAGUAAAAUUUCGUGGAGGACCGAACCCACGAGCGUUGAAAAGCUCGGGGAUGACUUGUGGAUAGCGGUGAAAUUCCAAUCGAACCCGGAGAUAGCUGGUUCUCCCCGAAAUAGCUUUAGGGCUAGCGUCGAGGUAAGUUGCGUGAAGGUAGAGCACUGAAUAUGUGAUGGCCCCAUCUCGGGGUACUGAGCAUAAUCAAACUGCGAAUGUCACGAUAACAUGCUCGGCAGUCAGACAGCGGGUGAUAAGGUCCGUUGUCAAGAGGGAAACAGCCCAGACCAUCAGCUAAGGUCCCAAAAUGUAUGCUAAGUGGAAAAGGAUGUGGAGAUGUACAGACAACUAGGAGGUUGGCUCAGAAGCAGCCAUCCUUUAAAGAGUGCGUAACAGCUCACUAGUCGAAUGACUCUGCGCCGAUAAUUUACCGGGGCUAAGCAUACUACCGAAGCUAUGGAUCCCAAGGGAUGGUAGGGGAGCGUUCCAUGAACGGAGAAGUACGACCGAAAGGACGUGUGGAGAUCAUGGAAGAGAGAAUGCCGGUGUGAGUAGCGGAACGUGGGUGAGAAUCCCACGCACCGAAAACCCAAGGUUUCCAGAGGAAGGUUCGUCCGCUCUGGGUAAGUCGGGACCUAAGGCGAGGCCGAAAGGCGUAGUCGAUGGACAACAGGUAGAGAUUCCUGUACCCGUAUAUAUGUGAAGGAAUGACGGAGAGAGGAAGCUGCAGCCAGCGGCUGGAAGAGCUGGUGCAAGCGAGAUAUCGGGAUGGCAGGCAAAUCCACCAUCCGAAACGAGAAGGCGUGAAGCGUACGGAAAGCUACGGCGAGUACGGAAGGCAGUGGAGGAACUUCCAAGAAAAGUUUCUAACGUUAAGUAUAUAUGGCCCGUACCGAAAAUGGACACACAUGGGUGAGGAGAGAAUCCUAAGGUGAGCGAGAGAACUAUAGCUAAGGAACUCUGCAAAAUGACUCCGUAACUUAGGGAGAAGGAGUGCUCAUAGAGAUAUGAGCCGCAGUGAAACGGCCCAAGCGACUGUUUACCAAAAACACAGCUCUCUGCUAAGCCGCAAGGCGAAGUAUAGGGGGUGACGCCUGCCCGGUGCUGGAAGGUUAAGGGGAGGGGUUAACGCAAGUGAAGCCCUGAACUGAAGCCCCAGUAAACGGCGGCCGUAACUAUAACGGUCCUAAGGUAGCGAAAUUCCUUGUCAGGUAAGUUCUGACCCGCACGAAAGGCGUAACGAUUUGGGCGCUGUCUCAGCUGUAGACUCGGUGAAGUCUUAGUACCUGUGAAGAUGCAGGUUACCCGCGACUAGACGGAAAGACCCCAUGGAGCUUCACUGCAGGUUGAUAUUGGGAUUUGAUGCAGCAUGUACAGGAUAGGUAGGAGGCAAAGAGAUGGAUACGCCAGUAUUCAAGGAGCCGCUGUUGGGAUACUACCCCUGUUGUAUUGGAUUUCUAACCGGACGACGUAGAGCCGUUGACGGGACAGUGUCAGUCGGGCAGUUUGACUGGGGCGGUCGCCUCCCAAAGAGUAACGGAGGCGCCCAAAGAUACCCUCAGCUUGGAUGGAAACCAAGCGCAGAGUGCAAAGGCAAAAGGGUGUUUGACUGCGAGACCCACAAGUCGAGCAGGGACGAAAGUCGGGCUUAGUGAUCCGGCGGUGCUGAAUGGAAAGGCCGUCGCUCAACGGAUAAAAGCUACCCUGGGGAUAACAGGCUGAUCUCCCCCAA
This 2460-nucleotide ribosomal RNA is filed under the name human gut metagenome. RNAcentral's name for it is "bacterial LSU rRNA". It matches the Rfam family "Bacterial large subunit ribosomal RNA", at positions 14 to 2495 of the family's 2925-position model. The record is from RNAcentral.